RNAcentral lists this microRNA precursor (91 nucleotides) under Brassica napus (rape). RNAcentral describes it as "miR6035 stem-loop (bna-MIR6035)". The record is from miRBase by way of RNAcentral. Lineage: Eukaryota; Viridiplantae; Streptophyta; Magnoliopsida; Brassicales; Brassicaceae.
AAACUGCAAAAUGGAGUAGAAAAUGCAGUCGUGAACAAACUGCAUUUUCCACUCCAUUUGUUUGUUUAUGACUACAUUUUCCACUCCAUUU